UUUGAUCAUGGCUCAAAUUGAACGCUGGCGGCAUGCCUUACCCUUGCAAGUCAAACGGCAGCACGGGUGCUUGCACCUGGGGGCGAGUGGCGAACGGGUGAGUAAUACAUCGAAACGUACCUUAUCGGGGGGAAUAACGCACCGAAAGCUGUGCUAAUACCGCAUACCCCCUGAGGGGAAAAGCGGGGGAUCGCAAAACCUCGCGCGAUUAGAGCGGCCAAUGCCUGAUUAGCUAGUUGGGGGGGUAAAACCCCACCAAGGCAACAAUCAGUAGCUGGUCUGAAAGGACAAUCACCCACACUGGGACUGAAACACGGCCCAAACUCCUACGGGAGGCAGCAGUGGGGAAUUUUGGACAAUGGGGGCAACCCUGAUCCACCAAUGCCGCGUGAGUGAAAAAGGCCUUCGGGUUGUAAAGCUCUUUUGUCAGGAAAAAAACACCGGCUCUAACACAGUCCGGGAAUGACGGUACCUGAAAAAUAAGCACCGGCUAACUACGUG
This 501-nucleotide ribosomal RNA is filed under the name uncultured bacterium. Its description in RNAcentral is "partial 16S ribosomal RNA". It matches the Rfam family "Bacterial small subunit ribosomal RNA", at positions 12 to 507 of the family's 1533-position model. The record is from RNAcentral.